This 63-nucleotide transfer RNA is filed under the name Epiphragma mediale. RNAcentral's name for it is "tRNA-Arg". The record is from RNAcentral. Lineage: Eukaryota; Metazoa; Arthropoda; Insecta; Diptera; Limoniidae.
GAAUAAUGAAGCAAUAAUUGCGUUUAGUUUCGACCUAACUGUAGGUAGACAUACCCUUAUUCU